RNAcentral lists this ribosomal RNA (254 nucleotides) under uncultured bacterium. Its description in RNAcentral is "partial 16S ribosomal RNA". It matches the Rfam family "Bacterial small subunit ribosomal RNA", at positions 524 to 776 of the family's 1533-position model. The record is from RNAcentral.
UACGAAGGGGGCUAGCGUUGCUCGGAAUCACUGGGCGUAAAGGGCGCGUAGGCGGCCCCGCGCGGUCGGGCGUGAAAUCCCCGGGCUCAACCCGGGGGCUGCGCCUGAGACGGCGGGGCUGGAGGACGGAAGAGGGUCGCGGAAUUCCCAGUGUAGAGGUGAAAUUCGUAGAUAUUGGGAAGAACACCGAUGGCGAAGGCAGCUAUCUGGACCGACACUGACGCUGAGGCGCGAAAGCGUGGGGAGCAAACAGG